UCGAUCUCUUUGUGAGAGUAUCAAAUCAGGCGGCGGUAAAUACGUAGAAGCAACUAGGCGUACUACGGCGUGUACCGGACAGCGUUGGCGUGCCGCUCUGCUAGCAGCGGAGAGCCAGAUGAGGAUGCCCGUGAUAUGAGAAAAGCUCUGUCCAGAGAUAUGGAGAUGAAAUCAGUUGUACCUCACCCUGUGACACCGGAAGACAUUGAGUAACUCGUCCUGCAGCUGGCUCCUCGGUUUUGGCGGCAGCCUGCACAUAGCAGCCCAGCUCUCCAGCAGCCUGACGGACCGACCGUGUGUCUGUUCCACGCCGGACUGGCGAGCGUGGCUCUGGGUAGGACAGCCGAGGCGCCCCAGGGCCGGGCCCCGGUGCGGAGUCUCUCCCGGGACCGGCUCUGUGUGUGACUGAAUAAACGCUUGCGGUCUCUUUUGCCGUG
Grus americana (Whooping crane) is the source of this 437-nucleotide long non-coding RNA. RefSeq lists it as uncharacterized. The transcript has 3 exons. The record is from RefSeq and is a predicted model, not a curated record. Lineage: Eukaryota; Metazoa; Chordata; Aves; Gruiformes; Gruidae.